Molecule: ribosomal RNA, 256 nt
Filed under: uncultured prokaryote
Description: partial 16S ribosomal RNA
Rfam family: Bacterial small subunit ribosomal RNA
Source: RNAcentral
UAACACGUAGGGGGCGAGCGUUGUCCGGAUUCAUUGGGCGUAAAGAGCUCGUAGGCGGCUCAGUAAGUCGGGUGUGAAACCCUCAGGCUCAACCUGGGGACGCCACUCGAUACUGCUGUGGCUGGAGUCCAGUAGAGGAGUGUGGAAUUCCCGGUGUAGCGGUGAAAUGCGCAGAUAUCGGGAGGAACACCAACGGCGAAGGCAGCACUCUGGGCUGGUACUGACGCUGAGGAGCGAAAGCGUGGGUAGCAAACAG